Molecule: long non-coding RNA, 409 nt
Filed under: Neogobius melanostomus (round goby)
Lineage: Eukaryota; Metazoa; Chordata; Actinopteri; Gobiiformes; Gobiidae
Description: lncRNA (ENSNMLG00000018033.1)
Source: RNAcentral
CAGCUCGUGCUCCGAGUGCACCGGCCCCUCGGAGUCAGACUGUGGGUCCUGCUCGCACCUGGCGGCUCUGCUCCAACUCGGACGCUGCGUCUCUCAGUGCGGGGACGGCUUCUACAGCCAGGACGGCGUCUGCUACGCCUGUGACCCGUCCUGCGAGUCCUGCUUCCCCGAUAACCCGCUCUGUGCCAGCUGCCCCCAGGAGCCGCACUGCAUCAUGGGAAAUGUAUUUCAGAGUGUCCUCCACAGCACUACAAGGACGGCCACAGCAGAUGCAGAGCCUGUCACGGCUCCUGCUCGUCCUGUUGGGGCCCCUCCGUGUCUCAGUGCUCGGUUUGUCCCAGCAACCUGUUCCUGCUGCAGGGACAGUGUGUGGAGAGCUGUGGGGAGGGGAUGUACCCGCACGACCAGU